UAUGUGAAAUCUAAAAUACAACACAAAUCAACAUAUCUAUGAAACAAAAACAGACCCAGAGAUAUAUAGAUAACAGAUUUGCAGUUGUCAAGGCAGAUGAGGAGAGGACUGGGAGUUUGAUAUUAGUAGAGGAAACUAUUAUAUAUAGUAUGGAUAAACAACAGGGUGCUACUGUAUAACACGGAGAACUAUAUUCAUUAUCCUGUGAUAAAACAUUAUGGAAAAUAGUAAGAAAAGGAGUGCAUAACUGAGUCACUUUUUUAUACAGCAGAAAUCAAUACAAUGUUAUAAGUCAACAAUACUUCAAUAAUUUUUUUCAUAAAAAGACAGAAGCCAGGUCUCCCAGCAGACAUAUGUGUCCCCUAAGUCAUUUAACUUCUUGGAGAUGUAGUUCUUCAUUUGUAAAAUGCAGGCACUGAUACACCUUCAACUGUGAACCAAACCUAACAUAUACAUGAGGAGUUUCACUCUUGUCCGAGUGAUAGUGGAAGACAAUUUCCCUGUUUGAACAAAGGUGUUAGAAGGCAUAUGAUAUUUAAGUACUAAAAAUCAAGUUUUACCAUCAGUUUAGUUGGACAAACAAAAUAAAAACAAGCACAACUAUGUCUCAAUCAAAAGAUGUAAGAAGUAAAUAUGAUUUUACAUGACAAAAUGUCAACUCUAUAACAUAUUUCCAAUAAUUCUGACAUUAUCUUUUGAAAAAUUUCCCAAAAUUCUGAGAAAAAUGACGAACUGGAGGUUUACUCUAAAGUUAGAUUGCUGUUUUAUUAUCUAGUUUUAUGUGCAUUUGAAACUGAAGACUUUAUACAUGACCAAGAUGUUUGAUGUUAACCCUGAAAUUCUUUCCUCCACAUCUCUAGGCUACCGGCACCCCCUCUACAUCUACCUGCUCAGACAGUUUAAACAUGGAGACUACACCCAAGGUAGAAUUACAAAGAAGACAACAUUUGUGGUAACAUCAAUACGAUUUCUGAUUUAUGUGCAUAAAGUAUAAAAGCUUAUCAUAUUAAAAAGCAACAAAUCAGAAUUUGGAUUCAUCCAACCCAGAUGCAGCAUCUUCAUAAUCUGAAAACAAGGGGAGAAAACGUAAUUAGCAAAUACAUUUAUUUUAUUUGAAUUACAGAUAGCACCACCAAUUUAUCUAACCUGUGCUGUAGGAAUCACUGUGGGUCAAAGAAGUAGCUGCAAGCCACCUUCCAGACCCCUUACAGACCCCUUCCAUACCCAGUUAGUUUAUCCCACUGGUUCUCCCACAACCUUAGAGGAAAGAAUGCUGGUAUUAGAGAUUAGAUCCUGGCUCUACCAUUUAGAAACUGUGUCUCUCUGGGAAGGGCACCCAAACUCUCUGAUGUUCCUCACAUUGAUCGGCCAGGCCCAGGAUGUAACAGGAAAUCUGAACAGGUUUUCAGUGCCAAGGUUCCCUGUGGAGUAGAAUUUCCCAGAAAAGCUGGAUUAUCCCCCUGUAAACUCCAAACGAAGACACAAAAGACGUGUCCAAUGAAUGCCUCCGUGCUUCAUGCAGUUAGAGCUACUUGCAGGAAACAUCGGCUGCAGUAUCUUUAUACUGAGUUACAACAGUCUGUUUCCAUUUCUCUCCUGUACUGGACUGAGAGCCUCCAGAAGCAAACAUAGUGCCCACACUGCUGAGAAAUGGUACGUCUACAGAACCAGGUCCCUCCUGGCUUGUGGCUGAAUAACAAAGCAACUGCCAUGCAAAGGAAAGGACGGUUCCCUCUUGAAGGCCCAGAGAUGCCCAGUGUAGAAAUGGCAGAAGAAAGAGCAAACCCUUGCGAGUGCUGUGGGUAAAUGCUGCCUCUGCCCUGUCACAGCAGCCCUGC
RNAcentral lists this long non-coding RNA (1838 nucleotides) under Sus scrofa (pig). RNAcentral describes it as "lncRNA (ENSSSCG00030070330.1)". Lineage: Eukaryota; Metazoa; Chordata; Mammalia; Artiodactyla; Suidae. The record is from RNAcentral.